RNAcentral lists this ribosomal RNA (495 nucleotides) under uncultured bacterium. RNAcentral's name for it is "partial 16S ribosomal RNA". It matches the Rfam family "Bacterial small subunit ribosomal RNA", at positions 28 to 507 of the family's 1533-position model. The record is from RNAcentral.
GACGAACGCUGGCGGCGUGCCUAAUACAUGCAAGUAGAACGCUGAAGGAGGAGCUUGCUUCUCUGGAUGAGUUGCGAACGGGUGAGUAACGCGUAGGUAACCUGCCUGGUAGCGGGGGAUAACUAUUGGAAACGAUAGCUAAUACCGCAUAAGAGUAGAUGUUGCAUGACAUUUGCUUAAAAGGUGCAAUUGCAUCACUACCAGAUGGACCUGCGUUGUAUUAGCUAGUUGGUGGGGUAACGGCUUACCAAGGCGACGAUACAUAGCCGACCUGAGAGGGUGAUCGGCCACACUGGGACGGAGACACGGCCCAGACGCCUACGGGAGGCAGCAGUAGGGAAUCGUCGGCAAUGGACGGAAGUCUGACCGAGCAACGCCGAGUGAGUGAAGAAGGUUGUCGGAUCGGAAAGCUCUGUUGUAAGAGAAGAACGAGUGUGAGAGUGGAAAGUUCACACUGUGACGGUAUCUUACCAGAAAGGGACGGCUAACUACGUG